Long non-coding RNA from Podarcis muralis (Common wall lizard), 2552 nucleotides. The record is from Ensembl. NCBI's taxonomy places the organism in Eukaryota, Metazoa, Chordata, Lepidosauria, Squamata, Lacertidae.
CGGAGCAAGACAUCCUCCCGGAAAGGGAGGGGAGUAGUGCAGGGAGUAGUGUAACUGUCAAGAGGAAGGUUAGAGGUUGCGAACGCGCGCCAAGUUCAAAUGUGGAGGCGCGCGGAAGGACAGGGAGCCCGGAGGAGGAGCCAGGUCCCAAAGCACGCAGGAGGGGGGAAGAGCUGUCUGGGGAUUCCGCGUCAGGGGAAUCCAGGAGGGGUGAAACCCCAGGGGGCAGGAAGACCCUGCGGAAAAGGAAAGAAAGGAAGAGGUGGAGCAGCACAGCCCUCUUAAACUGGUGCAGAGGAGGGACUGACUCAGAGGGGACUUCAGCGGUCUAAGCGUAACAGACGUGGGGCUGCGCGCCUCGGCUGUGGAGCGUACAAUGAACUGCAAUAAACAUCUUUGUAUAUAAACUGGACUUGGCGUUGGUCUCUUGUGAGCUGGGACCUGAGGCAGCCCUGACAGUUAGGAUUUAUGUUUUUUUGUUUUUUUGUUUGUGUGUUUAAAAAUUUGGUGGAAAAUUAAAAAAAAAUUGGGGGAGAAAUAAAAUAAUAAGGACACGACACUUCUAUUCAAAGUCAAUAAAAGAAGUUUACUCAGUUGGAUUCCUGAAGGCAGACAUAGAUACAAAUAUGUACACGUGGAUCUACCCCAUAUGGGGGAAUAAUCCCAGUGCUUCUGCUAGCUGAGAAGCUGGCAGAGCAGUCCUAGCUAAAAAGCUACUCCAACAAUGGAGGAAGUCAGAAAGAUUGGCAGCAUGCCUUGUCCUAUUGUUACCUGGACAGGUAAGGUCAUGCCCAUCUUUAGUCACAUGCAGAGGAAGGAUGCUCCAGCCCAGGAGGAAACACACGUCUUCUCUAGGAAAACAAGGAAUGUUGUGUUUGACUGCUCCCAGUGGAUUACAUCCUACUUGAAAGACUCUUUUAUCUGCCUGAAUCUUCCAACAUUCAGCAUCAUUAGAUGCAGCCCUGGAUUCAAUUUAUCGGAAGCGGUCCUCCCCGGGAAAGGCAGCCGAUCCAUUUGCUGGAGAACAAAAGACAAGAGCCCGUGCCCCUCCCCUCGACCUUCUCCCGGGAAUCCUGACACGCCGAGAGGCUUUGAUGCUCUAAUGUCUCUUUUAUUCCCUAACAAACGACACCAGAAAAAUCUGCCUUUCCUCUGACAGCUGCUUCAUCUGUAGCGCUGUAAACCUUGCUCUGUAAUCAAUAGAUGUGAUGUGGACAAGCCUCACCUUUUAUGCUAAAGCCCUUAAUGGGCCAGGAAGCAGGAGUGAUGCCCAGGGGGACCCAGAAAUCAAAUACAGGGAGAUAGAGAAAAAAGAAGAGUCUGCUUGCUCCAUUUUUUUUAUGCCACCAGGCCUGUUUUCCACCUUCGUUGAGGAACUAACUAGACAUUCCUGCUGCUCCAUCUCUUUCCCUCCCUCCCACUUUCUUGUACCAUCGAAACACAACAAAUGAGGAUAUUGCAGAGUUGGGAAGGGUUCAGAAAAGGGUUGCCAGAAAUGAUCAAGGGGUGGAGAGACUCCCCCAGGAGGAAAGGGGCCAGCAUUUGGGAAUUUUUUUAGUUUAGAGAAAAUAAUAAUUUAUUAUUUAUACCCCGCCCAUCUGACUGGGUCUCCCUAGCCACUCUGGGCGGCUUCCAAACAAAUAUCAAAAACAAUGCAGAGUCAGACAUUAAAAACUUCCCUAAACAGGGCCGCCUUCAGGUGUCUUUUAAAAGUAAAAUAGUUGUUUAUUGCCUUGACAUCUGGUGGGAGGGCGUUCCACAGGGCGGGCGCCGCCACCGAGAAGGCCCUCUGCCAGGUUCCCUGUAACCUCACUUCUCGCAGUGAGGGAACCGCUAGAAGGCCCUCGGAGCUGGAUCUCAGUGUCCGGGCUGGAUGAUGGGGGUGGAGACACUCCUUCAGGGAUACUGGGCCUUUGAGGCCGUUUAGGGCUUUAAAGGUCAGCACCAACACUUUGAAUUGUGCUCAGAAAAAUACUGGGAGCCAAUGUAGGUGUCUCAGGACCGGUGUUAUGUGGUCUCAGCAGCCACUCCCAGUCACCAGUCUAGCUGCCGCAUUCUGGAUUCUGCAGUUUCCGGGUCACCUUCAAAGGUAGCCCCACGUAGAGCGCAAGUUAGAAGAGACAUGAUAGAAGUUUUUACUGAAGUAGUCAGAUAGCAGCACAGACCUGGCGCAACCCCCUCCCCAACUUUCUGGAAGAACGGCAGCCCCUGCUGCAACAGCUACUUUGCAUUAACCCUGCAUGCCAUUCAUGGCUGCAGAAUAAUGACUCCACAUCUACUAUUUCGGAAGCAAGUCCAAGCAUUUAAUGGCAACGUUGUUAGAAAGAGUGGCAUCCUAUUUCUCUCUCCCCCCCCCCCCGUGUUUAAAAAAAUCACACUAUAUUUUGAACGGUUCCACCGAGCAACGAGAUUAAUGGGUGGCGGAGUUUGCAAAGAUUGCCUGCGAUAAAUAAUUGGUGGAGAAGCAAGGAGGCAGGUGGCAAAGUUCUGCAUUGGGCUGCUCUUGGGUAACGGAUCACUCUUUGCUUCGGGGUUCAUCAGUCUCUUGAAAA